GGCGUGGCUCGGUGGAUGCUUCCAUUUAUUCUUUAGGCUCAACGGGGUGCUGUCCUUCGGGGUGGUACUAUCGUUCCUAAUCGUUUACUGUGAACAAAUUAGAGCGUUCAAAGCAGGUGUCUCUGCCUUGAAUAGUUAGCAUGGAUAAUGAAAUAGACUUCGUUUAUUUUGUUGUUCUAAAGCUGGGUAUGAUAAUAGGGACAGUGGGGUCGGUCGUAUUGAAUCGUCAGAGGUGAAAUUCUAGGAUUGAUUCAAGACGAACUGAUGCGAAAGCGUCCGACAAGGAUGUUUCCGUUAAUCAAGAACGAAAGUUGGGGGAUCGAAGAUGAUCAGAUACCGUCGUAGUCCUAACCCUAAACGAUGUGGACCAAGGAUCCGAGGAUGUUGUAUGGAUGACUCUCCGGGCACUUUGUGAGAAAUCAUUGAGUAUUUGCACUCCGGGGGGAGUAUGGCCGCAAGACUGAAACUUAAAGGAAUUGACGGAAGGGCACCACCAGGAGUGGAACCUGCGGCUUAAUUCGACUCAACACGGGAAACCUCACCAGGUCCGGACACAGUAAGGAUUGACAGAUUGAGAGCUCUUUCUUGAUUCUGUGGUUGGUGGUGCAUGGCCGUUUUUAGUUGGUGGAUUGAUUUGUCUUGUUAAUUCAGAUAACGAGCGAGACCUCAUCCUGCUAAUUAGUGAUGCGAACGUGGGCCUCUCUUUGGGGGGGUCCUCACCCGUUCGUACGCAACUUCUUAGAGGGACUCUCGG
This 754-nucleotide ribosomal RNA is filed under the name uncultured eukaryote. Its description in RNAcentral is "bacterial SSU rRNA". It matches the Rfam family "Eukaryotic small subunit ribosomal RNA", at positions 668 to 1426 of the family's 1831-position model. The record is from RNAcentral.